AGAGUUUGAUCCUGGCUCAGGAUGAACGCUAGCGACAGGCUUAACACAUGCAAGUCGAGGGGCAGCGGGGUGUAGCAAUACACCGCCGGCGACCGGCGCACGGGUGAGUAACGCGUAUGCAACUUGCCUAUCAGAGGGGGAUAACCCGGCGAAAGUCGGACUAAUACCGCAUGAAGCAGGGAUCCCGCAUGGGAAUAUUUGCUAAAGAUUCAUCGCUGAUAGAUAGGCAUGCGUUCCAUUAGGCAGUUGGCGGGGUAACGGCCCACCAAACCGACGAUGGAUAGGGGUUCUGAGAGGAAGGUCCCCCACAUUGGUACUGAGACACGGACCAAACUCCUACGGGAGGCAGCAGUGAGGAAUAUUGGUCAAUGGGCGUAAGCCUGAACCAGCCAAGUCGCGUGAGGGAUGAAGGUUCUAUGGAUCGUAAACCUCUUUUAUAAGGGAAUAAAGUGCGGGACGUGUCCCGUUUUGUAUGUACCUUAUGAAUAAGGAUCGGCUAACUCCGUGCCAGCAGCCGCGGUAAUACGGAGGAUCCGAGCGUUAUCCGGAUUUAUUGGGUUUAAAGGGUGCGUAGGCGGCCUUUUAAGUCAGCGGUGAAAGUCUGUGGCUCAACCAUAGAAUUGCCGUUGAAACUGGGGGGCUUGAGUAUGUUUGAGGCAGGCGGAAUGCGUGGUGUAGCGGUGAAAUGCAUAGAUAUCACGCAGAACCCCGAUUGCGAAGGCAGCCUGCCAAGCCAUUACUGACGCUGAUGCACGAAAGCGUGGGGAUCAAACAGGAUUAGAUACCCUGGUAGUCCACGCAGUAAACGAUGAUCACUAGCUGUUUGCGAUACACUGUAAGCGGCACAGCGAAAGCGUUAAGUGAUCCACCUGGGGAGUACGCCGGCAACGGUGAAACUCAAAGGAAUUGACGGGGGCCCGCACAAGCGGAGGAACAUGUGGUUUAAUUCGAUGAUACGCGAGGAACCUUACCCGGGUUUGAACGCAUUCGGACCGAGGUGGAAACACCUUUUCUAGCAAUAGCCGUUUGCGAGGUGCUGCAUGGUUGUCGUCAGCUCGUGCCGUGAGGUGUCGGCUUAAGUGCCAUAACGAGCGCAACCCUUGCCACUAGUUACUAACAGGUUAGGCUGAGGACUCUGGUGGGACUGCCAGCGUAAGCUGCGAGGAAGGCGGGGAUGACGUCAAAUCAGCACGGCCCUUACAUCCGGGGCGACACACGUGUUACAAUGGCGUGGACAAAGGGAGGCCACCUGGCGACAGGGAGCGAAUCCCCAAACCACGUCUCAGUUCGGAUCGGAGUCUGCAACCCGACUCCGUGAAGCUGGAUUCGCUAGUAAUCGCGCAUCAGCCAUGGCGCGGUGAAUACGUUCCCGGGCCUUGUACACACCGCCCGUCAAGCCAUGGGAGCCGGGGGUACCUGAAGUCCGUAACCGCGAGGAUCGGCCUAGGGUAAAACUGGUGACUGGGGCUAAGUCGUAACAAG
This 1482-nucleotide ribosomal RNA is filed under the name Parabacteroides distasonis. RNAcentral describes it as "bacterial SSU rRNA". It matches the Rfam family "Bacterial small subunit ribosomal RNA". The record is from RNAcentral. Lineage: Bacteria; Pseudomonadati; Bacteroidota; Bacteroidia; Bacteroidales; Tannerellaceae. RNAcentral also lists the same sequence under 2 other names.